Molecule: long non-coding RNA, 2250 nt
Organism: Megalobrama amblycephala (Wuchang bream)
Lineage: Eukaryota; Metazoa; Chordata; Actinopteri; Cypriniformes; Xenocyprididae
Exons: 4
Source: RefSeq, a predicted model, not a curated record
AGUACGUUUCACCUUCAAGUACUUGGAUUUGUGUAUAUAAAAUUUUCCCAGCAUAAGAAUGUUGUUAAUCAGGAAGUCAUCUUUGUUACUGUUCAUUAUAAGUCCAUAAGUGAUGUCCUUUAGAGUGAAGUUUCCAAGGUGAGGCACCUUUGGAUAAAGCCAGUCAUGAAUAUCAGACCAUAAAGCCUCCACAUACAUACAAUGAAAAAAUAGAUGAUCUGUGGUUUCUAUAUCAUCACAGAAUAUACAUUCAUUAGAAUCAAACCCAAACCUAAGUUGUAGGAAUUCACUGGAUGGAUAUAUCCCAUUUAAAAUUUUAAAAGGUACAAACUACAAAUAAACCACUGUGCAGAAAAAAGUGCACAACAACGAAGGGGUCACGCUCUAAAAUAUCAAGAGUGCAAAACAGACACAUCCACCCCACACUAGUGUGACUAUAAAACAGAGCAAGUUUUUACAAAUGGGAAAUAAUCAAGAAAAUCAAGAAUUCAGCCGCUCUGCAGGAAUAUGCACUAUGCAAAAAACAGCAAGAAGUUUACACACGCACACAAAUGAACUGGUGUGGCUGUAACAAUUAUGGUAACAUUGAACUUUUAAAGACUUUAAAAAGAGGUUGAAAUCAGAUCUGAUUCUGGCCCAGAUUAAUUGAUGUGUAACCCGGGUAACCUAAGAAAAGGAAAACAAAUUCCAAAAGAAAAAGAGAUUCAUCCAAUCCCUGAUUCGUGCUGCAAUGAGAGACACCCCUAAGAGCCAAUAGUAGCGGCGCAUUCAUAAGUCCCGCUCACUGGUCUCGCCGGUGCUGCUUUCAGUGUGAGCAGAUGAGAGCGAGUCAGAGCAGAUCAGCACAGACCAGACAGUUUCUCCAGAAAAUCCAUUGAUAUAACUGGAAAUGUGAAUGAGUGCACUGAAAGUUGAGCUUUUGAAGUCGACGCGUCAGCCUGAAGUGAUGUCGUCGGAGACAGAGAAGAGAGAGAGACUGAGCGGAUCCCAGCGUGUUGAAGCACUGUACAGUCAUUUAUGUUCAUCUGUUUACAUUUAUUGAGGAAAGAAGACAAAUAUCUAAGAAAAUGAAUGCGUAUCAUUUCCAUCUCUUGUUUCUUGUUUCUUGACAGACCGAAAGGAAAAGGACAGUGAUUCCCAAACCACAGAGAAAUUAAUUACUGUUGAUGAGUAUCAAGCACAACCUCGACAGAGACUCAGAAGAGGCUGAAAAAUGGAGGAAAACGAAAAAUUGAGAAACGAUGACAAAAAAAGCUACCAAAUCUGUUAAAUGAAGUGAAGAUGGCCCUGAAGUCUCUGUUUGUCAGCAUCAGUCACAUAACUUGGAUGAUGGGACAGGAUUUGCCACAGAGUAAUUACAGAGCCCUUCCAGCAGAACAGGAGCAACGUUGCAGAAAGUGUCCUCAUGUGGUGACCGCCAGCAUUGGUACAGCAAUUAAUGCCAAACUUACUGAAAUUAGAGGGAAGAAAACACAAAAACAUCUGAAAACCUUAAUGGUCUUUGAUGAUUGAUAGCUGUGACAGUGUGUUCAAGAUGUUUUGUUGUUGUUGUUGUUGUUGUUGUUGUUGUUGGAGUGUGUUUGUUUGUGUGUGUGUGUUUUGCCUUCGCAAAGUUCAGUUUGAUAUCAAGUUGUAAUUUUAAAUUACUCUUGUGGAGUAUAAUUUGAUUGUCUUGUUGAUUGUGUUGAAAUAAAGUAUUUCUAAUGUAAAUUUGUGCAAGUAAUUGACUGAAAUCAUAUAUGAUUUGUAUAUGCAGAGAUAUUGUAAUAUUUACUGAAAUCAUAAAAGAUAAUUAUAUGUAGAGAUAUGAGGUAUUAGGUGGAAACAUAUAAAGUUUGAAGAACAGACACACAAUUUACCUAUUAAAAACAUAUAAUCUGUAUAAAAUUCAUAUGAGCAAAUAAUGCAAAAUUUUAAAUGAAUCCUAUAUGACUUGCAUAUGAUUCAAUCAAGAAUUUUAAAUGAUUUGUAUAGGAAAUUUACUGAUAUUCAUACACAUUUUCUACUAAAAUCAUAUACUAUUGCAUACUGUUGUCAUGUAAAACUCAUAUAAGAAUUUUGCAGUAUUCAUAUAUGACCUAAAAAUCCCAUACAAGUUUUAUGUGUGCUUUUUAGUAUGAAAGUGGCCAUAAUCGGUCUGAUUUUGUAUAUGACAUGUAUUGGACUUAUAUGAAACACAUAAGGAAAUUCUGGCUGAUUUGAGUAAAGAAUAUAUAUGGUUGCUGUAUAUGAAACAUACAGGUUUUUUUC